Molecule: non-coding RNA, 251 nt
Organism: Cinara cedri
Lineage: Eukaryota; Metazoa; Arthropoda; Insecta; Hemiptera; Aphididae
Source: the annotation of a GenBank genome assembly
CGGGCGCGUGUUUUUGAGUGGCAUAAAUUAUUUUCUGAAGGUCGAGAGUGCACCGGAAUCCAAUUCAGUUGUAAUUCAAAUUCAAAACCAUGCUGAUCGUUUUCUUCGAUAUCAACGGCCUCGUGAUGACUGAAUGGGUUCCAGAGUGUCAAACUGUGAACCAACAUUACUAUUUGACAGUUUUAGGAUAACGCACCUGCCCAUAACGCGCUGUCUGUGAAGCGUUAUUUGGUCGCUUAAGGCACUCCAGU